Molecule: transfer-messenger RNA, 216 nt
Filed under: Bacillus cereus
Lineage: Bacteria; Bacillati; Bacillota; Bacilli; Caryophanales; Bacillaceae
Description: partial transfer-messenger RNA
Rfam family: transfer-messenger RNA
About the family: Bacterial tmRNA, also known as 10Sa RNA or SsrA, is named for its dual tRNA and mRNA-like properties. Its role is to liberate the mRNA from a stalled ribosome.
Source: RNAcentral
GGGGACGUUACGGAUUCGACAGGGAUAGUUCGAGCUUAGGUUGCGAGUCGAGGGGAUCGGCCUCGUUAAAACGUCAAAGCCUAUAAUUGGCAAACAAAACAAUCUUUCUUUAGCUGCUUAAUUGCACUAAAGGUUCCUCCCUCCAUCGUCCAUGUGGUAGGGUAAGGGACUCAAACUAAGUGGACUACGCCGGAGUUCGCCGUCUGAGGACAAAGG